UUGAACGCUGGCGGCAUGCCUUACACAUGCAAGUCGAACGGUAACGGGCCUUCGGGUGCCGACGAGUGGCGAACGGGUGAGUAAUACAUCGGAACGUGCCCGAUCGUGGGGGAUAACGAGGCGAAAGCUUUGCUAAUACCGCAUACGAUCUACGGAUGAAAGCAGGGGACGCAAGGCCUUGCGCGGACGGAGCGGCCGAUGGCAGAUUAGGUAGUUGGUGGGAUAAAAGCUUACCAAGCCGACGAUCUGUAGCUGGUCUGAGAGGAUGAUCAGCCACACUGGGAAUGAGAAACGGCCCAGAAUCCUAAGGGAGGCAGCAGUGGGGAAUUUUGGACAAUGGGCGCAAGCCUGAUCCAGCCAUGCCGCGUGCAGGAUGAAGGCCUUCGGGUUGUAAACUGCUUUUGUACGGAACGAAAAGCCUUCUUUUAAUACAGGAGGGUCAUGACGGUACCGUAAGAAUAAGCACCGGCUAACUACGUG
RNAcentral lists this ribosomal RNA (480 nucleotides) under uncultured bacterium. RNAcentral describes it as "partial 16S ribosomal RNA". It matches the Rfam family "Bacterial small subunit ribosomal RNA", at positions 30 to 507 of the family's 1533-position model. The record is from RNAcentral.